GUUACUGGAAAUGUCUCGAUGGAUAAUUGGAGGAGAGCAGUCAUGGUGCAUGUACGACAAAGCAUUUGCUAUUCCUUCAACAAUGUUUAGUCUCUUACUCCAAUCCAACUCCACUCUUUCUUCUUCGUUGCUUAAAAUUUUUCUCAAACUUUCCCUUUCUAUGAAUUCGUAUAUCAAAAAUGAGUGUCUGACAUGCGAACAAAACCCAUAUAACUUCACAAUGUUCCGAUGACGUAUGUUUGUCAACACAGAAAUCUCACUAGUAAAUGCUUUCAGAUCAGCCACCUCACCAUUUGGUGAUUGAUGAAUUUUCUUCACAGCAACCACUUGACCAUUUGGCAGCUCAGCUUUGUAGACAAUUCCAUAACCUCCUACCCCAAUGCAAUACUUGGAAUUGAACUCCUCUGUAGCCUCAAUAAUGUUUUCAUAUUGCAUAUUUCUAUCAAUAUGGCUCCAUAUUGCAUACAUAUCUUCGCAAUGUUUCCCCUCAGUUGACUUGGCUUUUCCGUUUCUGUGAUGGAUGAAGAAGAAACAUCCAACCAAGAUAAACAAUAGAAGCAGACUACCCACGAGAGGAAAAACAAUUAGAUGAUUGACAGCCUUUUUGCCCUUUUUUCCUAUGGUUUUGUUCACUGCGAGAGAACCGCAAGGCUUU
Molecule: unclassified non-coding RNA, 655 nt
Filed under: Hevea brasiliensis (rubber tree)
Lineage: Eukaryota; Viridiplantae; Streptophyta; Magnoliopsida; Malpighiales; Euphorbiaceae
Source: RNAcentral